This 332-nucleotide ribosomal RNA is filed under the name uncultured eukaryote. Its description in RNAcentral is "partial 18S ribosomal RNA". It matches the Rfam family "Eukaryotic small subunit ribosomal RNA", at positions 1470 to 1796 of the family's 1831-position model. The record is from RNAcentral.
CCCUUAGAUGUCCUGGGCUGCACGCGCGCUACACUGGAAGUUACGGAUUGAGAUACUACCUUGUCCGAAAUGGUCCGGGUAAUCACCUAAAAGCUUGUCAUAAUUGGAAUGGAUUAUUGUAACUAGUAAACCUGAACGAGGAAUUCCUAGUAAGUCCCAGUCAACAGCUGGUACUGAUUACGUCCCUGCCCUUUGUACACACCGCCCGUCGCUACUACUGAUUGGACGUUUAAGCAAGAUUUUUAAACACUGACAGUGUGUAGUUCACGCUAUACUACAGUGAGAAGAAGAAGAUCGAGCUUACUUGUCUAGAGGAAGUAAAAGUCGUAACA